This 585-nucleotide ribosomal RNA is filed under the name Pseudomonas sp. 1B03. RNAcentral describes it as "bacterial SSU rRNA". It matches the Rfam family "Bacterial small subunit ribosomal RNA", at positions 85 to 666 of the family's 1533-position model. Lineage: Bacteria; Pseudomonadati; Pseudomonadota; Gammaproteobacteria; Pseudomonadales; Pseudomonadaceae. The record is from RNAcentral.
UCUUGAUUUAGCGGCGGACGGGUGAGUAAUGCCUAGGAAUCUGCCUGGUAGUGGGGGAUAACGUCCGGAAACGGGCGCUAAUACCGCAUACGUCCUACGGGAGAAAGCAGGGGACCUUCGGGCCUUGCGCUAUCAGAUGAGCCUAGGUCGGAUUAGCUAGUUGGUGAGGUAAUGGCUCACCAAGGCGACGAUCCGUAACUGGUCUGAGAGGAUGAUCAGUCACACUGGAACUGAGACACGGUCCAGACUCCUACGGGAGGCAGCAGUGGGGAAUAUUGGACAAUGGGCGAAAGCCUGAUCCAGCCAUGCCGCGUGUGUGAAGAAGGUCUUCGGAUUGUAAAGCACUUUAAGUUGGGAGGAAGGGUUGUAGAUUAAUACUCUACAAUUUUGACGUUACCGACAGAAUAAGCACCGGCUAACUUCGUGCCAUCAGCCGCGGUAAUACGAAGGGUGCAAGCGUUAAUCGGAAUUACUGGGCGUAAAGCGCGCGUAGGUGGUUCGUUAAGUUGGAUGUGAAAGCCCCGGGCUCAACCUGGGAACUGCAUCCAAAACUGGCGAGCUAGAGUACGGUAGAGGGUGGUGGAA